Molecule: long non-coding RNA, 805 nt
Filed under: Homo sapiens (human)
Lineage: Eukaryota; Metazoa; Chordata; Mammalia; Primates; Hominidae
Description: long non-coding RNA NONHSAT195340.1
Source: RNAcentral
GAAACUGGAUAAUAGUCAAAUUCUCUUUUCCUUGAAGGAAACCUGCUGCUGUUUAUGAAUGCUGCCAAUGUGGACAUAUUCACUUCCAUGUAUCAGUGAGGAUUCACUCCAUUUAGUCUACGUUCUUUUCAGAUGUGGAAGAGCAAACAAUAGGAGGACAUCCGGCCCAACCAUUUUCAUCUAAGAGAAACUCUAUGAAAAUCCCGUAAGGUAGAACCAACAAAGUCUAAAACACUAUCAGUGGGAGUGAUUUAUCAUGGCAACUGUCGACUUAAAACUUUCAAGUAAAGAAACGCUUGUUUUACUGACCUACAAGUAGGAGAAUAAUUUCAAGGCUGGAAGCUAGAACCUUCAGAAUCCAGAAAAAUCCCCAGGCCUGAUAUGUAAGCUGUAGCCAAAGAAACAGAUCACAGGCCACACUAAAAUUGUGAACUUCAUGGCAAUUGCUCCAGUCCCACCUGCUCCAGAUACCUAAAUCAUGAAGGCUUACUAGCAAACCUGUUUCUGGAUAUCUGCUAUUGGAUAACAAACUACGGGGAAACCUAGUGACUUAUUACCGUGGAUUAUUGCCCCUCGUGUUUCUUUCACAAAUGGUGGAAAACAGCAAGUGGAAAAGGCUAGUUCACCAAAGCGAAAGAUUAUAAUAUGACAAUCUGAAAGGCAGCAGAAAGCAGAUGGAGGUCACCAGUGUCGGUCUCAACACUUCAGCUGCACUGGAUGGGAUCCUGUUGCAUCCCCCAGUGUCACAGGAAUGUGGCAAAGAAUGUUGAAACAAUGAACAACAAAUAUAUAAAACAUUUAAGUA